Molecule: ribosomal RNA, 468 nt
Filed under: uncultured bacterium
Lineage: Bacteria
Description: partial 16S ribosomal RNA
Rfam family: Bacterial small subunit ribosomal RNA
Source: RNAcentral
GACGAACGCUGGCGGCGUGCUUAACACAUGCCAGUCGAACGGAAAGGCCCUGCUUUUGUGGGGUGCUCGAGUGGCGAACGGGUGAGUAACACGUGAGUAACCUGCCCUUGACUUUGGGAUAACUUCAGGAAACUGGGGCUAAUACCGGAUAGGAGCUCCUGCUGCAUGGUGGGGGUUGGAAAGUUUCGGCGGUUGGGGAUGGACUCGCGGCUUAUCAGCUUGUUGGUGGGGUAGUGGCUUACCAAGGCUUUGACGGGUAGCCGGCCUGGGAGGGUGACCGGCCACAUUGGGACUGAGAUACGGCCCAGACGCCAACGGGAGGCAGCAGUGGGGAAUAUUACACAAUGGGCGGAAGCCUGAGGCAGCAACGCCGCGUGCGGGAUGACGGCCUUCGGGUCGUAAACCGCUUUCGCCUGUGACGAAGCGUGAGUGACGGUAAUGGGUAAAGAAGUACCGGCUAACUACGUG